GCCUGGGUGGCUCAGUUGGUUAAGCGUCUGACUUAGGCUCAGGUCAUGAUCUCACAGUUUGUGGGUUCGAGCCCCACGUCAGGCU
This 85-nucleotide transfer RNA is filed under the name Felis catus (domestic cat). It matches the Rfam family "tRNA". Rfam says of the family: Transfer RNA (tRNA) molecules are approximately 80 nucleotides in length. Their secondary structure includes four short double-helical elements and three loops (D, anti-codon, and T loops). Further hydrogen bonds mediate the characteristic L-shaped molecular structure. tRNAs have two regions of fundamental functional importance: the anti-codon, which is responsible for specific mRNA codon recognition, and the 3' end, to which the tRNAs corresponding amino acid is attached (by aminoacyl-tRNA synthetases). tRNAs cope with the degeneracy of the genetic code in two manners: having more than one tRNA (with a specific anti-codon) for a particular amino acid; and 'wobble' base-pairing, i.e. permitting non-standard base-pairing at the 3rd anti-codon position. Lineage: Eukaryota; Metazoa; Chordata; Mammalia; Carnivora; Felidae. The record is from Rfam by way of RNAcentral.